UUAACAAGUGGCGGACGGGUGAGUAACGCGUGGGUAACCUACCUUAUGCAGGGGGAUAACGCUUGGAAACGAACGCUAAUACCGCAUAAACUAUGGAGCAUCGCAUGAUGCUUAUAGCAAAGAUUUAUCGGCAUAAGAUGGACCCGCGUUGGAUUAGCUAGUUGGUGAGAUAACAGCCCACCAAGGCGACGAUCCAUAGCCGGCCUGAGAGGGUGAACGGCCACAUUGGGACUGAGACACGGCCCAA
This 247-nucleotide ribosomal RNA is filed under the name uncultured bacterium. RNAcentral's name for it is "partial 16S ribosomal RNA". It matches the Rfam family "Bacterial small subunit ribosomal RNA", at positions 88 to 334 of the family's 1533-position model. The record is from RNAcentral.